GAUGAAGAACGUAGCGAAAUGCGAUAACUAAUGUGAAUUGCAGAAUUCAGUGAAUCAUCGAGUCUUUGAACGCACAUUGCGCCCCCUGGUAUUCCGGGGGGCAUGCCUGUCCGAGCGUCAUUGCUGCCCUCAAGCACGGCUUGUGUGUUGGGCUCCGUCCCCCCGGGGACGGGCCCGAAAGGCAGCGGCGGCACCGAGUCCGGUCCUUGAGCGUAUGGGGCUUUGUCACCCGCUCUGUAGGCCCGGCCGGCGCCAGCCGACAACCCAUCAUCCUUUUCAGGUUGACCUCGGAUCAGGUAGGGAUACCCGCUGAACUUAAGCAUAUCAAUAAGCGGAGGA
Molecule: unclassified non-coding RNA, 339 nt
Filed under: soil metagenome
Description: partial contains 5.8S ribosomal RNA, internal transcribed spacer 2, and large subunit ribosomal RNA
Rfam family: 5.8S ribosomal RNA (bases 1-120)
Source: RNAcentral